Molecule: ribosomal RNA, 406 nt
Filed under: uncultured bacterium
Lineage: Bacteria
Description: partial 16S ribosomal RNA
Rfam family: Bacterial small subunit ribosomal RNA
Source: RNAcentral
AUUGAACGCUGGCGGCAGGCCUAACACAUGCAAGUCGAGCGAGCGGCGGACGGGUGAGUACUGCUUGGGCAUCUAGCUUAUGGAGGGGGAUAACUACGGGAAACUGUAGCUAAUAACGCGUACCAUAGGAUGAGCCCAAGUGGGAUUCGGUAGUGGGUGAGGUAAAGGCUCACCAAGCCGACGAUCUCUAGCUGGUCUGAGAGGAUGACCAGACACACUGGAACUGAUACACGGUCCAGACUCCUACGUGAGGCAGCAGUGGGUAAUAUUCCACAAGGGGCGCAAGCCUGAUGCAGCCAUGCCGCGUGUAUGAAGAAGGCCUUCGGGUUGUAAAGUACUUUCGGCGAGGAGGCGUUACUCGCAGAAGAAGCACCGGCUAACUCCGUGCCAGCAGCCGCGGUAAUUC